Vicia faba (fava bean) is the source of this 552-nucleotide non-coding RNA. The record is from the annotation of a GenBank genome assembly. Lineage: Eukaryota; Viridiplantae; Streptophyta; Magnoliopsida; Fabales; Fabaceae.
UUACGGUACCGUCUUCUGUUUUUUCCUGCUUUUCGAAUGCUCGCCCUUCUUGAUGUCAAUGUUACUGUGAAGUUGCAGCGAUGAACCAAUAAUGGUGACUAUAUGAAUAUUGUUGCAGAUUAUUGAUGAAGAAGGGAGAUGAGUUUUCAGAGAAAUCUUCAGAUGAAUAUCGACGAGAUAUUGCAGAGAAACAUAGAUAGAGUUGAAGUCGUUGAUAGAGGUUUUCGGUGUAUAUUCAGGAGAGUUGCCGGAUGAGGGAAAAGAUGGAAGUGGUUGAGGUGUUAACGUUUGUCGUGGAAUUGGAGAAUCCGAUGGUGGAUGAUGUCCAUGUGAAUCCAGGUGGAAGUCUCGUUGUAUUCUUUGAGGAAUGUUUGAAGGAGAUUCAGGCUUUGAAGAUGGUGAAGUUGAUUCAGGCUUUGAUGAUGGCGGUGAUUCUUCUGGGAAAUUGAGAGGGCUAUUGAGAAGCAAAGGCAAAAGGAAAACACCAAGAUGAUAUGAAUUUGGAACAAAGACGCAUAACACGAAGUUUUGGAAGCUUGAAGUUUGAAACAU